AUGGCCAAUGGAUUUUACACUUCGUCAUCGGCCUACAAGGUGCAAUUCGAGGGGACUGUGGCCUCCAACAUGACACGGGUCGUUUGGGGCAAUUGGGGGCCUCCCAAGUGCAAAUUAUUUGCGUGGCUUGUCAUCAUGAAUCGGGUUUGGACGGCGGAUUGGCUUCGGAGGAGAGGAUGGCCAAAUUAUAACUUAUGUCAACUCUGUAAGAGGGAGCCUGAGACGGCGGCGCACUUCCUCUUGCAUUGCAGGUUCUCCACACGCAUUUGGAAUGCGGUUAAGUGUUGGCUCGUCGUUCAGGAGUUGGAUAUCGCCACCUGGGCUGGGAUCCCCACGGUCAAGCAAUGGUGGGAGAAGACCGUCCUUGGACGAGGUCACAGGAGGAAGGCCGUGUCCUCUCUUCUAAUGCUUGUAUCAUGGGAGCUGUGGAACGAGAGGAAUGCGAGGGUGUUCCAAAAGAAAGCCACGAUGCCGACCGUUGUGGUCAAUCGUAUCAAGGCGGAGUCUAGAAAUUGGGUUCUGGCCGGGGCAAAACAUAUGGGAUAUUUGAUGCCGCGAGAGUAG
This 564-nucleotide ribosomal RNA is filed under the name Triticum aestivum (bread wheat). RNAcentral describes it as "partial small subunit ribosomal RNA". The record is from RNAcentral. Lineage: Eukaryota; Viridiplantae; Streptophyta; Magnoliopsida; Poales; Poaceae.